Molecule: ribosomal RNA, 115 nt
Filed under: Aggregatibacter sp. oral taxon 458 str. W10330
Lineage: Bacteria; Pseudomonadati; Pseudomonadota; Gammaproteobacteria; Pasteurellales; Pasteurellaceae
Source: RNAcentral
UGGCGGCAAUAAUAUAGCGAAUCUACCUGAUUCCAUACCGAACUCAGAAGUGAAAUGCCGUAAUGCCGAUGGUAGUGUGGGAAUUUCCCAUGUGAGAGUAGGUCACCGCCAAGCU